RNAcentral lists this long non-coding RNA (254 nucleotides) under Capsicum annuum. RNAcentral describes it as "long non-coding RNA (CANN_LNC004180)". The record is from RNAcentral. Lineage: Eukaryota; Viridiplantae; Streptophyta; Magnoliopsida; Solanales; Solanaceae.
ACUACAUAGUGGGAGUAUGUUAAGCAUUUUGGCAAUAUUUUGGUAGAGGGGAAUCCCCCUCCUUGGUUUCGACUAAGGUACCUCAUGAGACAAAGGUACCUACCCGAAAGAUAUUAUCAAGAGCUCCUUGCCAAGUUGUAUAACUUGAGGCAAGGAAAAAAAACAUUGUGGCUUACUACGUUGAGUUCCAACAACUCAUCUUGAAACUUGAUCAUAGAGGAAAACAAGUGAGUCAUGAUAUCUUUGAUUCAAGG